GCGCUUGUAGCUCAGUCGGCAGAGCAUCGCACUUUUAAUGCGAGGGUCCGGAGUUCGAGCCUCCGCAGGCGCACCA
RNAcentral lists this transfer RNA (76 nucleotides) under Enterocloster bolteae. RNAcentral describes it as "tRNA-Lys". It matches the Rfam family "tRNA". From Rfam's summary of the family: Transfer RNA (tRNA) molecules are approximately 80 nucleotides in length. Their secondary structure includes four short double-helical elements and three loops (D, anti-codon, and T loops). RNAcentral also lists the same sequence under 1 other name. The record is from RNAcentral. Lineage: Bacteria; Bacillati; Bacillota; Clostridia; Lachnospirales; Lachnospiraceae.